This is a long non-coding RNA of Zonotrichia leucophrys gambelii, 1633 nucleotides long. RefSeq lists it as uncharacterized. The transcript has 2 exons. Lineage: Eukaryota; Metazoa; Chordata; Aves; Passeriformes; Passerellidae. The record is from RefSeq and is a predicted model, not a curated record.
GUGUGCUCCAAACAGGGAUCACCUGUGCUCUGCCCACCUGGGAUCACCCAGAGCUCUGAGACCAUUGGAGCUGGACCAGAUCACAAAGUUCUUCCCACCGAGGGUGGACUCUAAUGCUGGGGCUUCUCCCCGGUGUGGAUUCGCUGGUGGAUGACGAGGCUGCACUUUUGCCUGAAUGCCUUUCCGCAAUCGGGACAGCGGAAGGGCCUCUCCUUGGUGUGAAUGCUCUGGUGACGGACCAGAUGGGAGUUGGUGUAAAACCUCUGAUGGCAUUCAGCACACUCAAAGGGCUUCUCCCCAGUGUGUCUCCUCAGGUGGGCAGUCAGUUUGGAUCUCCACCUGAAGCUCUUCCCACACUCGGAGCACUUGUGGGGCUUCUCCUCCCCUCCCUGGAGCUGCUCACGGGGCCCCAGCUCGGAUCUCUGAGCCCCUCCAUGGCCCAGGCUGGCUCUUUCCCCCUCGGAUCCCCGCGCUCUGCCUUUGCAGCCCCUCCUGCUCAGGGAUCUCCGCGGCUUCUCCUCCCCGUUGGCUUCUCCCUGCCGAGCCGUGGAGCCGCUCCAAACGGCCUCUGCCACCGGCUCCUCGCUGCUCUCCAUGCUCAGCUCCUGCUCGGGGGGAGCAAGGACAAGGACACGAUGGGAUUUGCCCCUAUGGGGACAAGGACACGAUGGGAUUUGCUCCCACGGGGACAAGGACACGAUGGGAUUUGCCCCCGUGGGGACAAGGACACGAUGGGAUUUGCCCCCACGGGGACAAGGACACGAUGGGAUUUGCCUCCCCUGCCCCCCACAAAAACCCUCCCGGAGCCCCCCGCGAUGGGGUCGGGCCCAGCUCCCCCUCUCCGCUCACCUGCGGGCUCCGGGCGGCGAUGCCGGCGGGGCCGGGGCAGCUGCGGCCGGAGCGCGGGAACCGCGUGGUGUUGGGCGCCUCUUCCUCCCGGUGUUUCUGUUCCGUUGUCCCUCCUCUUCCUUUGUCCGGCCUCUUCCUUUGUCCCUCCUCUUUCUCCUUCUCCCCCUCCUCUCCCUCCCGCUCCUCCUCCGCUCCGAGUCCGGCCCGGGCAGCGCCGGCACCCAAAAGCAGGCGGGGAAGAAGGGCGUGGUUAUGCAAAUCAGGGAGCGAUCGCGCGCUGGGAUUGGUGGGAGGGAGGAGCGCGGGCUUUGCUCGGCGACGUCAUGGCUGGAGGGGACCGCGAAUGGGAAUGGGGACCAGGAACGGAAAAGGGACCCUGUGGUGGUCUCAGGGGUCCCAAGAUGAGGGAGGGAUGAAAAUUUUGACUCCGUGUUUUUAUUUUCAGAAAGACGAUUUAUUAUUUUAUGAUAUAUAUAGUACACUAAAAGCAAAUGCUAUAUUAAAGGUAUACGAAAGUAAUAGAAAACUAAGAUUUCAUCAGAAAGCUAGAAAAUAAUAAGAAACAAUGAUCAUAAAAUCUCGUGAGUAACCAAAUUUCAAGACAGCUAAACUGUGAUUGGUCCUUCAUUAGCAACAACCACACUAGACCAAUCAAAGAUGAAAUUGCUGCAUUCCACAGCACCAGAUAAUUAGUGUUUAUAGCUUCAUUUUAGAGGCCAUUCAGCUUCUCAGGAGAAAAAGAUCCUAAGGAAAGGAUUUUUUAAUAAAAUAUGUCCAUGACACA